GACGGAGGUGGCAAACGUUGCUCGGAAUCACUGGGCUUAAAGGGCGUGUAGGCGGUCCAUCAAGUCGGGUGUGAAAUCCCUCGGCGCAACCGAGGAACCGCAUUCGAAACUGAUGGGCUGGAGUGCGGGAGGGGUAAGUGGAACUCCAGGUGUAGCGGUGAAAUGCGUAGAUAUCUGGAGGAACGCCGGUGGCGAAAGCGACUUACUGGCCCGUAACUGACGCUGAGGCGCGAAAGCUAGGGGAGCAAACGGG
RNAcentral lists this ribosomal RNA (253 nucleotides) under uncultured bacterium. RNAcentral describes it as "partial 16S ribosomal RNA". It matches the Rfam family "Bacterial small subunit ribosomal RNA", at positions 524 to 776 of the family's 1533-position model. The record is from RNAcentral.